This 497-nucleotide ribosomal RNA is filed under the name uncultured bacterium. RNAcentral describes it as "partial 16S ribosomal RNA". It matches the Rfam family "Bacterial small subunit ribosomal RNA", at positions 28 to 507 of the family's 1533-position model. The record is from RNAcentral.
GAUGAACGCUGGCGGCGUGCCUAAUACAUGCAAGUCGAGCGAACAGACGAGGAGCUUGCUCCUCUGACGUUAGCGGCGGACGGGUGAGUAACACGUGGAUAACCUACCUAUAAGACUGGGAUAACUUCGGGAAACCGGAGCUAAUACCGGAUAAUAUAUUGAACCGCAUGGUUCAAUAGUGAAAGACGGUUUUGCUGUCACUUGUAGAUGGAUCCGCGCCGCAUUAGCUAGUUGGUAAGGUAACGGCUUACCAAGGCAACGAUGCGUAGCCGACCUGAGAGGGUGAUCGGCCACACUGGAACUGAGACACGGUCCAGACUCCUACGGGAGGCAGCAGUAGGGAAUCUUCCGCAAUGGGCGAAAGCCUGACGGAGCAACGCCGCGUGAGUGAUGAAGGUCUUCGGAUCGCAAAACUCUGUUAUUAGGGAAGAACAAAUGUGUAAGUAACUAUGCACGUCUUGACGGUACCUAAUCAGAAAGCCACGGCUAACUACGUG